ACUUGAAUAUUAAUAGUUAUAGGCUUUAAAUUCAAAGAAUUUGGCGGUAUUUUAGUCUUGUUAGAGGAACCUGUUCUGUAAAUGAUACUACACGAAGAAUCUUACUUACUUUUGUCUUUCAGCUUGUAUACCGUCAUUAUUAGAUAACCUUUAUUGAGGGAGUUAUUGUGGUGUAAUAAGUUAAAUAUAUUAGAUCAAGGUGCAGCUAAUGGGUAAGAAGAAAUGGGUUACAAUAAAAUUUAUUUAAACGUAUUGAUAGUUGAAUAUAUUAUCAUGAAGGAGGAUUUAAUUGUAAUGUAAAUUUAAUAAGUUAAUAUGAUAUGAGAACUAAAAUAUGUACACAU
Molecule: ribosomal RNA, 344 nt
Filed under: Cherax cairnsensis
Lineage: Eukaryota; Metazoa; Arthropoda; Malacostraca; Decapoda; Parastacidae
Description: partial 12S ribosomal RNA
Source: RNAcentral